Molecule: ribosomal RNA, 253 nt
Filed under: uncultured bacterium
Lineage: Bacteria
Description: partial 16S ribosomal RNA
Rfam family: Bacterial small subunit ribosomal RNA
Source: RNAcentral
UACGUAGGGUGCAAGCGUUGUCCGGAAUUAUUGGGCGUAAAGAGCUCGUAGGCGGUUUGUUGCGUCGGCUGUGAAAUCCCGAGGCUCAACCUCGGGUCUGCAGUCGAUACGAGCAAACUAGAGUGUUGCAGGGGAGACUGGAAUUCCUGGUGUAGCGGUGAAAUGCGCAGAUAUCAGGAGGAACACCGGUGGCGAAGGCGGAUCUCUGGGCCGGUACUGACGCUGAGACGCGAAAGCGUGGGGAGCGAACAGG